UUUAGUCCGCCAUCUAAAACUUUUCAGUUCCUGCGAAAAUUUUCCGCCAUCUAUACAAUUUUUGGUGGAAAAUGGAGAUGGAUAAUAGAUGACGGUCUUUAGAUGACGGUUAUGGGGUUUUAAUGACGGUGUCCAAGAUGGCGGUCUUUAGAUGGCGGAUUUCCGCCGACGAUCACUUUAGAUAGCGGAAAUCCGCCAUCUAAAGACCGCCAUACAAGGUCUUAUUUCUUGUAGUGCUACCGCCCGCGGAACAUACACUGGAUCUAGCUGAAAUAGAGGUACAACAUGUAAAGGUACUGUUGCAGGUACAGCAGGAACUUGUGGGCGCAUUUCCGGAACACGUACCGAAAAUGGAAGUCUACGUGGUAUCUGUUUUUCUCUCCUUCCCAUUAUUCUAUAUCAAGCAAUUUAUUUAAAUUAUACAUUCAAAAUAUUAACUAAACAAUAAUUAAGUAAUGCAUUUAAAAAAAUUAGAUUAAUAAACUAAAAUGAUAAUUGAAAUAAGAAAUCAGAAAUUACAUACUUCGAAUUUUGGUGAAUAAUAUUGAAGAUCGAGUUUAGUUUAUAUCGGCUUCUUUAGCACCAACACCUGUGAGUUUGGAAUAAACUAUAUCAAAUUACAGUUUGAAUUAAUUAUUUCAAUUUAAAAAAAAAAAUUCAUGACCUAUUUGCUUUUAAUGAUAAUCGAAACACAUAUAACAUAAAAUUAAACCUGCAAAUAAACAUAUAUAUACAACAUACAAAUGAAGAUGAAUACAAACGACAAUCCUUAAAAUUUUACCAUAUAAUGGAAGCAUACUGAGAUACAAAUUUCUCGCGGAGAAAUUUAAACAGCAAAUACUAUAAAACGAGAAGUUCAUGAAAUUUAAAUUUCAAUUAGUUCUUACGAGAUCUCAUUGAGAAAAACAGAAGAAAUACAUGUGCUCAAGAGGGAAAAAUUUAUAUAGAAAGAGGGAAAGCUUCUUAUGAUAUUUCAAGAUUGGAAGAUUUUAUUUCAAAUAAAAUAAAAUCAAGGUUUAUUUUAUCUGAAUUUUGUCCUGUAGUGUAUAGUUUGUCAUCAACACGAUAUUUCCAUCUCUAAAAAAAUAUUAAUAAGAGAUUAAAUCUAGAACCGUCGAUUCAACUAACGUACUAUCAAUGAAAAAUACCUUGAUGCAAUUCAAUUGAGAUUUUUUUAUAUGAAGAUUAUACUAAUGAAAUCAAACAUUACAUGAAACAUCAUGUAUUCAUGUUUGUUUGUCAGUGGAAAUGUGAAUAAGUCUGAAUAAUGAUUAAGAAAAUAUUUAUUCGAACAUGAAACUUUAGUGAUAUCAGCAGUGUAACUGGUAACUGUACUACUUGGUAUCUACUGUGACUCAAAUGACACUAUUUUUUUCCCCUUUGAAUACUUUACAGUUUACAUUCAAAAUAUUUUCCGAAUCCCUAAUUUUUAGAGACGACUUUUUCAUAGACCAUCCCUAAUUAUUUUUCGAAUAAAAUUAUCAAGAUAUUUAGAGACGGCCUACUAAAAAGCUGUCCCUAAUUUUCAAAGGCGGAGACGGUUCACUGGAGAGCCGUCGUCAACCAUUAACGAAAAAUCAGAAUUAGAGACGGCUUUUGCAAACCGUCUCUUAGCCGUCGCUAGCAUCAUGGAAUUUCAACGAAAUCCUUCUUCAGAUUUAAAGACGGUCAGAAUCCAUCGCUAAAUCCGUCCCUACAAGUCUGUUUUCUUGUAGUGGAAGUUGACACGGGUCUCGACGAAGACUUUUAGUUUCGCUUUCGUGAGAGCCUUCCGGGGGUUUGGCAUAAAACGAACAGAACCCUCAGGGUUGUCGCGACCUCAGAGUCCCUUGAUAAAAUUUCUAAGUUCUCGUUCUCGGAUCAACCGCUCGACGUAGCCUGAGAACUAGAUGCAAUGAUCCGUUACGUGACCAUGAUCUUUGUGAAAUUUACAGUAUUUUCCACCCUUCACACAGUUACUUUUUAUUGCAAAGUCUAAGGAGCGGGGGGCUGGGAAGUCCGCUCGACUCCUUAUCUUCUUGAAUAUUUCACUCCUCCUUAUUGUCAAUGGAGUGAAGUCCUUCCAUUGCUAGGGUAGAUUCCCCCCUUUAAUAGGGUUGUGUGGUGCUUGUCCCUUCGAGGUUUGGUAUACCUUGUUGUCGUGCUUGGGCUUCCACUCUCUCCUUGAGGUUUCUGCUACUUGGUGUAGAAAUAAGAUUCUCAAUGACAUAUUUAGUUGUUAAUUAAUUUGAAAUAUAAUAAACCAUAAUUAAGAAGACAUAGAUCGAUAAAAUUGACUUGAUAUAUGAUUAAACUAAAAUGAGAUCAAUAUUAUUUCCAUCAAACAAAUCUCUACCAUUAAUCAAAUUAAUUAUUGAAGCUUGUAUUUAAUUAUGCACACCUAUUUCCUUGCGUUAACUCUUGUUUUAAGUUGAUCAAUGUCUUAAAAGUUAAUCAACAAGGUGUGAAAGCUACAACUAUUCAUUCAAGCUUCAAAUGGACCCAAUGUGUUGAAAACGUGUAAAAGUGCAAUCAUGAUAAAUUCCAAGAGCAUAUCCAACAUAUUAACUACAAAGAUCUUGGAAUCAAUGCUACACAAAAUCCUAGUUGAAGAGUUCAAAUUGGAGAAAGGCAAAAACGUGUGGAGGUUCAAUCUCCCAAAAUGAAAUCCAAUCAUGAUCUUGGAUUUAAUGUUACACAACCUCCCAAAAUGAGAUUCGAUCAUGAUCUUGGAUUUAAUGCUACACAAUCUCCCAAGAUGAAAUUCAAAUCUAAGAAAAGCUCCAAGCCACCAACGUCUACAAUAUCAAGCUCUUCUUCCUAGAAGUUUUGAAGAUGAAGAAUUUACCUCCAUGCCACUCACGUCCACUAUAAAAGAUGGUGCACACCCAAGAGCUAAAGCCAUCACUUGCCAUCUUUGCUAAAGCUCUCCUUGGAUCAAUGCUCUACUCUCAUUGUCUCUUGCUCAAACUUUAGCUCUCGUUCAAGCUUUGUGUGGGAGUUGCUCUCAAGGUUGUGUGCUCUAGUUCUUCAACUUCUUCUUCUUCUUCCCCUCUUGUAUGUUGAGAAUGUGUUAGAAGAAAAGCUCUACAUCUUGUAAGUGGUCCAAGUAUUGUGAGAGGCUUAUCUCAAUACCAACACUUGUAAGGUUCUGUGAGUUCAACCAUAAAACUCGCUGUGGUUCUAUAAAGUUUCCAGGAAACUCUUAGGUUGAAUCUGCCAUAAAUUUUCAAGGGUUUUUAAGAGUUCCUGGAUACUCUUAGAGGGUUCACAAGCGUUUAGCCUUAAAGCUUGGCAGAGGUUCUUAAGAGUUCCUGAAUACUCUUAGAGGGUUCACAAGUGUUUAGCCUUAAAGCUUGGCAGAGAUUUUUAAGAGUUCCUUAAUACUCUUAGGUGGUUCAUAAGCGUUUAGCCUUAAAGCUUGGCAGAGGUUUCGCCAUUACCUUCAGGCUAGUGAUCUCCGUGUUUCAUCGGAACUGGAUUAGCCCUUGUUUGAGUGAACCAGUAUAAAAAUCUCUGUGUCUCUUUUUAUUUCUUGCUUUUCUACUUUAAAUCUUAACAAGAUAAAAACAACUAAAAAGAGAUCUCUCAUCCAGUUACCUGAUCAUAGAUUGGGGUUGACUAUUUUCGUGCAGAUCCCUCAUCUAGUUAUCUGGUCAUUAACUGAGGUUAUUUUCAAGUAUAAAUAUAUCCAGUCACCUGGUCACGUAUACCUAUAUAUUUUAACUUAUGUUAUUCACUUGCUUAUAAGAGAACUUAGUAUUCACAUACUACAAUUAGCUUAGAAAGUUUAUUUUCAAGUUGGAAUAUAUAUCUGUUCAUUUACUAUUACACGUGUGCCUAUAUAACUUAGUAUUCAUACACUACAAUUGUAUAGAAGUCACUUUCAUAUAAGUGGACUCAGUAUCUAUAUACUGCAGUAAACUUAAAAAGAACAGACAGCUUGUAUACAUAUCCUUGCGUUUAACUUGUAUUAUCAGGUAUUCCACACAUUGUCUGAGAAAUCACGAGAAGAGGCUAUUACUCCCCUCCUUUAAGCCUCUGAUCCAGAUCCAACAAGUGGUAUCAGAGCCAAGUAGGUUAUUUACAGCUUCACAUCUGUUUCUAACAUGGCACAGGAAGAACAAGGAUAUCAGGGUUUCGCAUCAAACGAACCUCCUAUCUUCGAUGGAACCAGGUAUAAAUUUUGGAAGAAGAAAAUGAGAAUACAUCUGAUGUGACUACACAGUGAGAUAUGGAAGGUCACUCAUGAAGAAUAUGAGCCUCCAACUACAAAAGAAAUCGAAUGGACUAUUCUGGACAAACAAAGAUGCAGGUUCAACGCUAGAGCAAUGAAUGCACUUUAUGGAGCAUUAGUUAAAUCUGAGUACAGUUCCAUCCGAAAGUUCGACACAGCUCACGAUAUUUGGAAGCAGUUGAAAGCAAUUCAUGAAGGCACAUCUCAUGUGAAGGAGAACAAGCUUCUACAUAUUCAUAGAGAAUAUGAAAACUUCACCAUGAAGGAAGGAGAAACUAUCGCUGAAAUGAACAAAAGAUUCAUCAACAUCAUCAAUGAUCUAGCUGGUCUAGGGAAGCCCAUCAGCGAAAAGAAUCAAACUGGGAAAAUCCUAAGAAGUCUUCCUGACAAGUAUGAUUCAAAAAGAGAUGCCAUCCAAGAAGCUCUUGAUUUGAAUAGUCUUCAUGUAGUGGAGCUAGUUGGAAAUCUCAUGGCAUACGAACAGAUGAAGUUCACAUCCAAGGAGAAGCAAACAGAAUAAAAGAAAAGUCGGCCCACCAAGUUACUUUAGAAAACAACAUUCAGUCUGAUAAAGAUGAGCUUGCAUUGAUUACUGCCAAACUAUAUAAGUUAAUCAAGAAGAGAAAAAAAUCUAAAGCAAGCAGCUCACACUACAAGUCACACAGGCCAGACCAAUUCAAACAAAAAGAAGCAGAAAGACAAAAGGAAGUAAUCUGCUACAGAUGUAACAAGACUGGACACACAAGACCUAACUGCCCAAAGUCCAGGGAUACUGCUCAUCAAGUUAGUUGGCCUGACACUGAUGAAGACUCUGAAGUUGAGGGAUGUCUGAUGGCCAACGACUCAGACACCUAGGUAAGUUUUUAUAAUUAUCAAAAAUUAGAGAUAUCUUAUCUUGAGCUAGUAUCUAGGUAUGAAUCUGAAAAGAAACUAGCUAAGUUAUUAGAAGAAAAAUGCAUGCAAAACACUAAUGAUAACCAUGAACUAGAAAAACUUAGGAUUGAAAAUAUUGCUCUAACCAACAAACUGAAGUCUCAAGAAAAAGUGGCAGAACAGCUAAUAGAGCAAAAUUUAAUUCUUUUAGAUCAUACUAAAACAAAAGAAGAACCUAUCAUCAUACACAUAGAAGAAAUUUAAAAAACAGAAAUUAAAUUAGAUACAAAGAAAAAAACAAUUAAAACCCUUAAAGAGCAAAACCCUAUAGACCUAACAGAACAAGUGGAAGAAUUCUUCUCCACACAUUUAGAAGAUUUAGAAAGGCUAAAAGAAAUAAAUCUAGAUCUAGAAACAAAACUAGAAUCAUUGAAAGAGAAAUUAGCCAAACAAGAUGAAAUGAUUCUAGAAUAUAAAAACAAAGAUAAAUGUCAAACACUCGAAAAAGAAGAUCUACUAGUAGACAUAAAUUCACAAGCAUCUCAUAUAGUAACAUUAGAAAGAAAAAUAUUUGAAUCGCCAAUGGUGGCUCCGGGAGUCUCUGAAGACCUCCUUCGAUUCGGUCUCCGAAGAAGAAAUCACUACAAGAAAACAGGGAAACAACCACGGCCAAGUUCACUGGCUAAAUGGCAAAAUCCGUGGCUGUAGGUCUGGUCACAGGAGGUGCCGUGGCUGUAGGUCUGGUGGCUACUGAUUUUUGGCCACGGAAAUGGUUUUCCGUAGCUAAAUAUUAGCCACGGCUAUAUUCCGUGGCUAAUGUUGGUAAUCGGUGGUCGGGUCAAAUUUUUUAAAAAAUUAGCCACGGCGUAAUUCAGUGGCUAAUUUUAUUUUGCCGUGGCUAAAUUUUUUGAGUGAUGAAGGGCCACGGCUAAAAUCCGUGGCUAAUCUUUUAUUGGCCGUGGCUAAAUCCUUGAAACAAAGGGCCACGGUCAAAUUCCGUGGCUAAUUUCUAAAAAAAUUAUGGGAAAUAUUUACAUUUUAGAAGAUACCUAUUGAAGCUCUUACACAUUCAUAUAACCUGAAAAAAUCAAUCAAACAUAUAUUUACAAUCAUAUUCCAUUCAUACACAUUCCAUUCAUACACAUUCCAUUCAUACACAAAUAUCCCUCAAAAUUAUCCAAAACAUUCAACCAAUCAUUCCAAAAUAUACCAUUCAAUUCCAUACCUAUUGUCAUUCCAAAACAUACCAUUCCAUUCCAAAACAUAUCAUUCAAUAACCAAGAAAACAUACAAUUCCAUUCCAAAAUAUACCAUUCAAUAACCAACAAAACAUACAAUUCAUGUUAUUCAAAAUUAAACCAAAAGAUAAAAGAAGAGGAACCUAUUUGUUGGUGUCGGUCACGCUAUUCGUCGGACUUUUAGUCGCACUUUUUCCAACAUUUUCGACAUUUGAAUCUCUUGUAAUAGGCGUGAUUAUGUUAUCGUGUCCUUGGCUCGACUGACCUUAAUGUAAAAAAAAAUUGAAAUUACAAAGAAAAUAUGAAUAUUGAUUUAUAUAUAAAUGCUAAUUACCUCAAUCGUCUCUCGACGUAAGUCUUCCCUUAGUUCCUUUAGUAUAUCCUGCAUCUGUUUUCUAAUGGCCUCUUGAACUGCCCGAUCGAAGUCUUCUUUACUUUUUUGUUGUUGAAUUUCUAUAAAAUUUGUCGUUGUGUUCUUUGAAGUCGCCAUAUUAUCAGGAAUUGGUAAUGGCAUUGGAUCACUUGCUCUGGUUCCAAGCACACGACCUUUCUUUUUUCCCUCAGUAGCUUUGACCCAUAAUUCUAAAUUAUCAGGGAGUGUGUGUGAUCUUUUUGAUAAGUUGAUCUCAGAAUUUUCGGCUUCCAUAACAUUUCUUUGAAGCUCAUCAUACUCAGCCUAAAAAAAUGAAAAUCAAUAAUAAAUAAAAAAUAUGACUUAAAUAUCUUAAAACGAAGCGUUUCUAACGAAGUUUCUUACAAUGAAGCAUCCUCCCUUUUGAUGAGUCCAGUCGUUUGUCUUAGCCAGACUAUGUGUUUUCUUAUAAACCUCACAGUGACCGACUUCAUGACCAGCUUCUUCAUUCUGAUUGUGUCAUACACAAAAAAAUUAGAAUGAUAAACGUAAAAUAUAUAAAAGAAAUGUUUUUUACCAUUCUUUCAUGAGUGGCCGCAACUGGACAAGAUCCACCCGUGUAUGGCAUGUAAUCUGGAUUGUUUGUCCUAUUUUCUGAUGCUUUUUCGGAUCUUUUUUUAUCAAUCUUCUUUUAACCAAAUUUCUAUCAUUUCACUCCAUACUUCCGCAAAAAGGUAUAUCGGUGGAAAUCUAGCGCAAGAUCUGGUGAGUUUGUCAACUUUGGCCAAUUUCUUUGUCUCUUGUCUCACUUUAUACAACCAACAUGUAUAAUUUAGUUGUACAUAGUUAUCAAAACAUUCACGAGCCAAUGGAAUGUCCUCAAAUGAGAAAUAACACUACAUACAGACAAAAAAAUUACAUAUGGAAAAAAAUGACAUGGAAAAAAUGACAAAUAAAUAAAUAAGUCAUACAGUUCUUUUUUUCUUGAGCUAUCGAUUUCACCAUGUUGAUGCCAAAUAGAAUAAUCAGCCAUGAACCCGUUUUUGUAAAGGUGAAUACCCACUUCAUCUAUCGAAAAAUAAAAUGAACAACAACAAGUAAAGCAAGGGCACUUUAUUCUUUCAUAUCCGAGUGUUUCUCUUGCAAAUUUCAAGAAAUGAGGGACGCCAUUGCCAAAUUCCACCGUUAGAUGACCCUUUGAAUCUUGCCGGUUAUACAUCCAAGUUCGAUCAUCAUCGGUCAUUCUAGGAAUUUUAAACCAAUACAAUUAGUUUUUAAAAUUAAUAUACGAUCCAGUAUAUUAUUAGAUAUUGUAUUUUCAUUCUACCUAAUUUAUAUAUUAAUGGGAAAUAGAGUGAGACAAACAGAAAGUAUAAACAUGUUAUUGGAUUAUAAGGAAAAAAUUCUUAUAAUUUUAAUACCGAGAGGGGUAUGAUUUUAGUUAAUCAUAAGGAAAAAAUCCUUAUAAAAUCCAUCCCUAAUUUCAGUUAAUUUAAUAUCUGUAUUUUUAUUGUUUAAAGUUUAAACUCUUGAUUCCACUUCAAGCAUUGCCUAUUUAACUUAAUCUUUAUUUUUAAAUUUAGACUAAUGUUUUUUAGACUAAUGUUUUUUUAGACUAAUUUUCUGAACUAAAUGUAUUUUAGACUAAUUUUCUGAACUAAUGUAUUUUAGAUUAAUGUUUUUUUCUGAACUUAACUAAUGUUUGAAAUCCAACCAAUAUUGAAAAUCCAAAUAUGAAAUCAGGCAGUGGAAGGCUAACAAUAACUAAUGUUCUAUUGCUUACAAUACUCUUUUUUUUUGGUAAAAAAUGAGUAGUUUGGUUAGAUAAGGAUGAAGGAUUAUGGGAAUGAGUUGUUCUGCCAUAAUUGAAUAACACCUUCAUAAGUUGUUCAAUCAAUGAAGUAAAUAACCAUUUCCACUGGAAUUUGGCUGUCUUUUUUUUAUAAUCAAUCUCUAUAUUUGGGGAAAAUAUGGCAGACAUGUAUUUGGGGAAAAUUUGCCGAAAGAAAUCUCCAUUAAAACUUCCCUCAAUUACAACAUGUAUUGGGGAAAAUAGGUGAGAUUUUAAUUUAGGAAAAUGGAAAACUCAAAGAAAUUUGAAAUGGAAAAACAGUGAAAUGAAAAAUCUAAAUCGAUAUUGAUUAAACAAUGACAAAGAUGGGUUGUGGAGUCUAACCUGAGUUUGAAAGUCGACGUUCGCCGGAUGGAAGCCUCACCUUGCCGGAUUGAACUGGAGGUGCAGCCACAAGUCGACGCCGCUCGCCGGAUGGAAAUCUCGACCUUGAUGGACUCGACUAGAGGUGCUCUACGUUCGCCGCUCACCGGAAGUUGGAAUCACCGCUCGUCAAAGGAAAAAUAGUUGGAAUCGGGAGUGGACUUUUAGGUUUUGGGAGUUGGAAACACGAUUUGGGUUUUGGGUUUAAUUUUAAGGUUUUGGGUAUAUUUACAAUUUGGGGUUUUUAUAUUUUUAAUUUUAAAUAUGGGGAAACACGAUUUGGGGAAACACUAAUUUAAAAUAACUUAGUUUAUAACUUUUCAAAUAAAGUUAGUUUAUAACUUUUUUAGUUUAUAACCAUUUAAAAUAAAGUUAAUUUAUAAUUGAAUUUUCAAAUUUAAAAUUUAUUAAAAUUUAAAAGUUAAUAUUAGAAAUUGAUAUUUUUUAUAAUUUUUAAAAAAUCACUAGUUGUUAAUUUUUAACUUUUUAGGAUUUAUAAUUUAAAAUAACUUUUAUAAUUGAAUUGAUAACUUCAAAUAACUUUUUUUAACUUAAUUUUUCACUUUAAAAUUUAAAAUAUCUAAAAUAACUUUAACUUAUAACUUCUAUUUUUUUUAAUUUAAAAUAAACUUAUUUUAUAACUUUUAAAAUAUUUAAUUUAUUAUAUUGAAUUUUAGAAUUUAAAAUUUAUUAAAUUAGACUAACCCUGACCUACUAAGUUCAUAUUAGAAAUUGUUAUUUUUUUUUUUUAAAAUUAUAUUUUUUUUAAUAUACACAAAUAUAUAUUUGCGCUAGUGUCCCUGAUAGAUAUAUAUUUUGAUAUACACAAAUAUUUAUAUAAUUGUUUGAAAGUAAAAUGAAUGUCCUUGAAUGAAUAUGCGAUGAUAUGAAUAGAAAAUAGCUAAUGCUAAUGAUAUAUAGUAAAUGAUACUUGAUCGUUUGGCAUCAAAUGAAUACCAAACAAUAUCAUUAUUCCAGUAUCUAUCCUAUUACAAAUGUUUCCCCCCUCUCUAUGUUCAACACCCAUGGGUAUUUAUACACUUUCUUACUGGACUGGACCUUCUCUCUUUUCUUUGGACUCAGCCCGACCUGGCCAGGUCUGGCUUGUCAGGCCAAGUGGGCCUGGUCGGGGAUGGGUCUGGUCUGAUGGACCAAGGGUAUCAUCAGUACUCCCCCUUCCGCAACCUAUAAAUCCUCCUUUUCUUUACUUUUCUUGACCUUUUCUGAACUCAUUUUGUCUUUGCUCUCUGUGUUGGAGGAGCUUGGCUAGUGCACCAGCAAGCUGCUUGGUCCGAAAGUCUUAUUCUCCACAAGGAAGAAGCUCGCGCCCUUGCUGCUACUGAGAGCCACUGCCUUAACACUUUGCUUAUAGUUGUUCAACAUCGCCUUUUUGUUCUUCGUCAAGUUGAAAAUGAUGUUGUUGUGGCUGAGUCCCACGUCGCUCCUGGUGAUAUCCUUGUAACUCUUGCCGUUGAUCCUGUCUCUGAUGACCGCUCUGUUGUUCCUUCUAUUGUUCGACGCCGCCGAGGACGCAGACAGUGUGCUGGUUGUGCGUUCCCUGACCUUCCCCCGACUGACCUUCGUUACUUUCUCACGUGCGGGCUGAUCUAAUGAGCGUCAUUGAUUAUCCCCCUCACAGGACCUUUAUGCCUUUAGUGUUUUUAUUUGACUUGUAAUUGAAUACUGUUUUUGUUUUCCUGCAAAUUUUUUCGUGAAUUCUCUUGUGGGCGAGAUAGCUUUUUUCCUGCAGCUUUUAAUAUUUCCUUUCUUUUCUUGAUUUUUUUCAUAAGCAUCCUUUCUAUAUGCCGUUCGACUGUUGCUCAUUUCUAUCACCGAUCAACUCUUCAACAGGUUUAUAAACAAUGACGUCCGGACCAUUUCGGCCGGCUGGAUGUAUAAUGCCAUCUGGCAUUUAUUAUCUUCCUUUGUUUCCACUUCCUUUUAUGUUCUUGCGGCCUAGAUGCCCGUCUGCUUAACCUUGAAUUUUUUCCUCCCUUUUUUUUAGUCGUUCGUCCGGUAUGGAUGUCCCACUCGGAUGUUCGUCCAUCCGGUCUGGUGUCCGUCCGCCUGGCCUGGUGUUCGUCCGUACGAACUGGUGUACGUCCGUGGAACACCCUUGGGCUAGGAAAUGUCUGUGUGGCUUUCGUGGUCCAUCCUUAGACUGGAUAAUGUCCGUGUGGCUACUCUUUGGCUCUCGGGUCUUACCCGUGCGGCUUUUAUUCACCAAUUUCUGCUUUCAAGUUUGCAGGUUGCAUGACUUUUUUAAUUGUUCUUUAGACCUCUCCGGAGUAUGGUUUUCUCGAGUGACAGGCGGAGGUUGAUCUUCAUGGUUCGCCCUCGGUACAGUAGUGAUUCCCAAAUUUUCGUCCACAUGAACUACAUGCUCUGGCUGCUCUGGAUCCAUUUCACGUCAGGUUCACCACUGAUCGUUUGGUAUCAAGUGAAUACCAGAAAAUCUCUUUAUUCCAGUAUCUAUCCUAUUACAAAUAUUUUCCCCCUCUCUACAUUCAAUCCUAUGGGUAUUUAUACACUUUCUUACUGAGCUGGACCUUCUCUCUUCUCUUUGGACUUGACCCGAUCGACCCGACGGGGUAAACAGGUUUGCACAAGCUUGUCAGGCCAAGUGGGCCUGCUGGACCUGGUCGGGGAUGAGCCUGGUGUGAUGGACCAGGGAUAUCAUCAAUACUGUUGGAUGAUCGAUUAAUCAGGAGUGAUGAAGCGAUGAUCCAAAGCUUGUGAAGAUGAUUGUGAAGAAGAUCGUUGCAAUGAAUAAUUAAUUCAGUUGAGAUGCUUGCGAAAGCGAUGAGAGACUUGGUGAUAUUGGGAGAGGCGAGCAAUGAGACUGUGUGUGUAUGAAUUAUGAAGUGUAAAGACGUAAAAACUAAUGAAGGUUUUUUAGAUGUGUUUAAAUAACUAAAACACCCAACAGCUAUGUUGGUGGGGUGUGUUUAAUUAUGAUAAUAAAUGAUUAUGGGAAUAUAUGAGAUAUGGAAAUAUUAAUAAAGGAAUGUGAAGAAUUAUAAUGAAAUGAAAGGCGGUGAGUGCAAUGUUUAUCAUAAGGGCAUAUAUGAGAUAUUUAUUUUGGGGGUAUAUCUCUAAUAUCCUCCCUCAGAUCAUAACCGGUUAGGACUUGAUUUGAAUAUAUGAGUGCAAUAGGAUGUUUGGGUGAAUUAAUUGGGUUUGAAUUUUGGUUGUGUAUAUCAAUGAGUUACAAUUUUUGAAUGAGGUGUCUAAAUGUUGGACCACCUAGGGGUUUAGUGAAAAAAUCACCAAUAUUUUGUGAAUUGGGGAUGUGUCUUAGUGUAAUAUCUCCUGCUAAAACCUUGUCUCUCACCGUGUCGAGAUCGAUUUCUAUAUGUUUUGUACAUUGAUGUGAGAUAGGGUUUCGUGCAAUCGCCUCUACUGUUGUGCUGUCGGUGAAUAUACGUGGAGCCAGUGAUCGUCUGAUCUGGUAAACUCCUACCUCUUGUAACAACAUUGCUAGCCAAGUUAUUUCACAUGUAGUGUAUGAUAAUGCUCGGUAUUCGGCUUCCCCCGAAGCCUCUAUGUAUAAGUACAGAUCCUUCCCAUCCUUGGGUGAUGUCAGCAUUGGAAGAGAUGACAUGUGUGCUUUUAGUUUAGUAAAUGCGUCUUCGCAUUCCGGUGUUCAAGUGAUACUACCCUUAGCCGCAGUUUUCAGUAACUGAAAGAACGGUUUACACUUGUCAGCCGUUUGCGAUAUGAAACGACUGAGUGCAUUGAUUCGACCGUUCAGCCUUUGAACUUCUCUGAUUGUGCGGGGGGCUUCCAUAUCGAGAAUCGCUUGGAUUUUGUCGGGAUUAGGUUUGAUCCCAUGCUGACCUACAUAGAAACCAAGGAACUUGCCUUCCUUGAUCCCAAAUGCACACUUAGCUAUAGCUAUUCUUGGGAUUAGGUCGUUCACUUCUGUCAUCAUGGAAGUGAAUUUGAUGGUGUAAUCCCUGAGGGAAAUAUCCUCCUACCGCAAUGCCAGUAGUGCAUUGGCAAUGUGCUUUAUCAUGAUCAUCCCCACGUGUUGGGUGAUGAACUUCAGAGAGAGGUCCGCGAAGCUGGUGACUGAGCCAGCUGGCAGACCGGAAAACCACCGAUAAGUGCUUCCCUUGAGAGUGUCCGGGAAUGCCCGGCACAACAGCUCGUCAUCGGUGGCCUGGGGUUCCAAGAUGUUGAGGUAGAGGUUGAUGUGAUCCUGCGGAUUAGUUGAACCAUCAUAUGCCUCGAUCCUGGGCACCCGCCAAGUUGGUGGAAAGGCUUGUUUCAAAAGGUCCUCAUGGAAAGGAGCACUUUUGAUCCUUAAGAACUCGUUCGGGCUGCCGACGAGUGGACCUUCGGCCAGUUUCCGACGAAGAUCUUCCACGAAUCGUGUUUUAAAAGUCCUUUGAGUGCGAUUUUUACUAGGUCCUGCCUUUGACCUAUAGUGGGAACUUUGUUUUAUUUUCUCCGCAGAUGGAGAAUAGUAUGAUCCAUAUUCUCCCGUCCCAUCUCGGGUGGUGGCCCUUCGACUCCUCGCAGCCUUGAGGUUGUUCAUUCUUCUCUCCAUGUUAUCCAUGAAAUCCAUCAACCUCUCUUCUAGAGUAGGAGGAGGAGUCGGUACCAUUUGCUCCCCAUCUUGUUGAGGAGCUGAAUUUGUCUGGGAGGGCUGGUCAGGCUGAGCUCCAUUCCCUACAGGCCUGUUUGGCCGAGAAGGCUCAGCCUGAUCCUCCUCAGGUAUCUGUGGCAUUUUAUCCGGGUUCUUCUUACUCGCUCUCGUGGAGUAAGGAUGCUUUUGUUUUUCGUGGGCCAUUGGCAACAAAAGCGAAGUAGUUUUCAAAGCAAAAAGACUUGACCGCACUUGUUCAAAAAAGCUAAGUUAAUCGACAAUUCCCUAGGUAGAAUCGGCGAUUGGACUUAUGGGGAUUUUUUGAACCAAGUCGUGGAUAACACUCUUAGCUAGCAGACGAUUCCCUGAUUCGUCGAUUCCCAGAGAAGUUGGUGAUUUCUAUGGUAGAAAUCCAACCAAAGCAUCGGAUGGAAAUAGGCGAUUCCUGAUCUGAAUCGACGAUUCCUUACAAUAAAGUCAGCGAUCUCUCUAGGGGAGAUCGAGCCGGACUUUGCAAAGAAAAUUUCUCGAUUACGACGGGAUAUCGGUGGUUCGAUAUUCCCACAGACGGGGUCAUCUGAUGAAGCACGGAAUCUGCUAUUAGGGGCUCGCAGAGGUGCGAGGUGAUGCUCCAGGCUUUGGGAUCCACGACGCGCGCUCUACGUCAAAUCUUGUAGGAGUGGAGUAGGCGACUCAGGUGUGGGAGUCGGCGAUUCCUCUCCGAAUGUGCUCUGGUUGGAAUGGAACUUGUAAUCUACCUUGAACCCCUUUUAUAGGGUCCUCAGGGGCAUGGUUCGCGGCGGGCAUCACGCCCGGCCAUAAUGGCAUUGGUUAAUGAUGCCAUAAUGGCGCGGGCCAGCAACAAGUAACGCUCGUGACGGUGACUCAGGUAGGGAGUCGGCGAUCCAGGGGUGGAGUCGGUGAGUCACAUAGGACGAGGUCGGAAGCCUACCAAUGCUGACUAACUCGGUCUUGACUCGGUCGAUUCACCACUGGAAUCGGCGACUUGGUAGCCCAGUCGGCGACUCAUGGGGUUAACUUGAGGACUUGACGACGACUUUUGUUCCGCAACUAUAUCAACGGAACCCUAGUCCUUAUUGAAGGACGUUGCUGGGAGUGACUGACGUAAUCAGGCAUGUCUCACCAAUACUCCCCCCUGAAGAGAGCACAAGAAACAUGCGUGUAUCGCCACAUGCUGAAAUAGUUUUUAUCAUAAAAUCACGACAUAUCCUCUUAAUAGAAAUUAUGUUUUUGGUUAUUUGAGAUAUACACUGUGAAGACAGUUGUUAGUUAUUAGUAACAGUUGUUACAGUAAUGGUUAAUAGUUAGUAACAAUUAUUAAUUAAUCUAUUAACUAUAAAACAGUUAAUAGGUUAAUACCUAUAUAAAUACAAACGUAUUGUAAUAGUUUGAUGAUUUAAUUUCAUUGUAAACAGUUUUUGUGUAUAACUUCAUAUUGUAAUCUUCAGUUGAGUUUGCUACACAUGGUAUCCGUUGAGAAGGAAGGAGACUCACAAAUCGUCGCUGCAGAGAAGGUUACAGUGACUGCAAGUUUUGUACUAUCCUCAAAGACAAUGGUGAAUGUUGCACACUGGAUACGCACACCAUUGGAGAAGAGCGACACUUAUUUAUUUUGGAGGGCACAGUUGGAGAAUCUACUCCCUAUGAUUAAGCUCACAGACAUUGUAAGUGAUUCAUUUGUGGUUCCACAAGAAAAGCUGGAAGAUAGAUCUUCUAAUCCACUUUUCGAAGAAUAUAUGGAGAAAAAUUAGGUCGUCUUGUGAUGGAUUCAGGUCUCGGUGGGGGCUCCGUUAUUUUCUUUGGUUAUGAAUUAUACGUCUGCCAAAGAUUGUUGGAAAGCGCUGGAAUUAAAUCUUUCUCCAAGGAAGAUGAUCAACACACAAGGGAUCCAUGAUGAUCUUCGAAAUCUGAAGAAGUUGGACACGGAAACGAUGAAUGAAUACCUAAUCAAGGUUAGGACACUUUCUGAUGCAUUGAAGAUGUCCGGAGAGGUUGUGCGAGAUAUUGAUCUCAUUGAUUAUGCUGCGGAUGGAAUCGGGACGGAGUAUAGGCCGUUCAUAUCAUCUGUACAUACACAUCUAAAGAUGACAUUUGAUGAAUUCUUCCAUCUACUAGUUUGGGAGGAACGAUUUCAGAAAAGGCAAGGGUGUUUAUCAAAUAACACCAAUAACUUAAACCCAUAUGUGUUUGUUGCUAAUAGAAAUUGGGGAAAUCGUNNNNNNNNNNNNNNNNNNNNNNNNNNNNNNNNNNNNNNNNNNNNNNNNNNNNNNNNNNNNNNNNNNNNNNNNNNNNNNNNNNNNNNNNNNNNNNNNNNNNAUUACCCUCGGAAAAACCUAUAAAUACGUUCGAAGCUCCAAUAUAUAGGGUAUCAGUUUCUUUCCAUUCAGAUGAGUAGAGCGGGCUUCAGUUGUCGAAGAGCUUCCAGUUUUCGACCCACAAGCCAACCACACACACAUGUACACAAGAGGAUUAGUCGACUCCUCAUUUAUUCUAGUAGACUUGUGAUCCAGUCGCCUACAACUUAAAAAAGCACUGAAGACGUUUGACCCCACCAUAAAUAAGAAGUCCACCAUAGGGUUAUGAAUGGAACUUCCCACUCUUUUAAUAGGGAAGGAAUUAUAAAAACUUCUCCUACAACCGUAAAUCCACAGUCAAAAGUUGAACAUUGGUGUCUCUCUUCAAGUGACCAAUGAUUCUAGAUAAUGUCUAGGUACUCGACAUGAUGCUCUGGCCUGCCCUGUUAAGAAAUCCCAUCGAAAUCCACGGUGAAUUCCGAGCAAUGGAUGUUAUGCUCCAGCCUAUUAGUUCCUAUUGGAGGAAGCCCAGGUAGUCAGUGCGACACUCCGGCCCGCCGACUAUAAAGAAAUAUUCCCCUUAAAAUUUGAGGGUGAAAUCCAAACAACUAAUAUGAUGUUUCGGCCUAUCAAUUCCUGUGAAAGAAUCCUAGGUAGUCGGUUGGACGUUGUGGUCCACCGACUAUAAAAUAACAAUACGUUAAAAAAAACAUCCUUGACGACGCUCAAGGUAGUCGGUGUGACGUUUCGGCCUACCGACUAUAAAGAAACCAUACGAACAGACGAUCUGUCACUUCGGCCACCUGAUAGGGAUAUAAGACUGACAUUAAUGUAUGAGUUGGCGUCCCACGGGGAGGGAGUAAGAACCACCCGCACCAUUAAGAAAUAAGUCUAUCAUAUGAUUUAUUCGUCUGAGCAUUGUCUUCAUACUUUCGACUCGUCAACCCGGCAAAAAAAGGAGGACAGACACACAAUACAAACCAAUUUGUUAAAAGCCAUAAAGAGGGUAGUCAUCGUGACAUUUUAGCAUAUUGACUAUAACGAAGAUGUUCAUGUUGUCGACUCGCCAACCCAACGGAAAAAGAGAGGAGUGACAAAAAACGUACAUAUUGAUGAGGGUGAAACCUGAUCAGUACUCUGAAACCAUUUCGAACAAGCGCACUGUAAGAAACUCCAAUCGGAAUCAUGCUCGAACUAUUCAAAUGCUCUAGUACUCUCGUUCUUUCGGAAAUGAAAAGUACCUAAAUGAAUGGAAUGAUCCUGAACUUUUGGCCUGUAACUGCCUAACAACUUGAGUUUGCCUGGGGUCGACUUUGUCAAAGUUGACCUGCUUUGACCAGAUUAUGAAAGUCCCUCUACUUUCUAUACAGGUUGUUUCCUCUUCAUUGUGUUAUCUUUCUAGGUUCUCCCCACUUUUGGUAGACAAUACUGUUGGCAAUGUCGCCAGUAUUAUUUUCCCCAAACGGUCAGAAAACAAUACAUACUAGCGGCAUUGUCGCCAGUAUUAUGUUUAUGAAAUUUUUGAAAACCUUACAAAUUAAGUGUCGCCUUCUUCAUUUUUCGUCCUUUAAAUCUAAUUAAAUUUUCAAUCUUUUAUUAGUUGAAACAUUUUUUAUAAAAUCGACCAAUCAUUUGUUAUUCGAUAUGUCUUUUAAAAAAAAUUGUUGAAGAGAGAGAAAUAUUAUAGUGUCAGUAUCUAUUAAAUUCUUUUUCCAAAACAAAAUAUCUAUUAAAUUCUUUUCCAUAUAUACUUUAAAAUUUUAUUCAAACAAGUGUUUUUCUAAAUAUGAAAAAUCGCUCUUUGGUCAAAAAUGGUUUCCGGGUCCAUAUCAGUUAAAAAGGGUUCUUAUGAGAACCCUUCAUCAUCUCGUCUGUCCGUUUUAAGGAGCAUUCUGGACCCUUGAUUUUUUUUGCUACCAACCUGCUGAAUAAGUUAUCGGUUACAUGUAACCUGUAGGAAAAAAAAUAACAAAGAAAUCGACUGACAUGGAAGGUACUAGGAUCGUACUAGCUAUGAAGUAGCUUAUUAGUAGGUACUCGGUAGUCUAUGAGAUAUAGGGGAAAUAUUUUUUUGAAAUCCAAAACCCCUAAACCCAUCGUCUCUACCACUACAAGAAAAGAGGUCUACAACGACGAUUUUAGCGACGAUUUUGAAAAAACGCACGAUGUUAGCGACGAUAUGAAUAUAUCAUCGCUAAAUAUCUUUUUUUUUCUUUAAAUAGCGACGAUAUUUUGAUAAUCGUCGUUAAAUGUAACAAGGGGCGACGAUUUAAAUGUUAUCGUCGUUAAUAAUGAGGACCAAUUUAUAAAAUUUGAAAAAAAUAAUCCCUAAAAUAUAAAAUUCCCUUUAUAAAUUUAAGUUUAAUUACAUAUAAACUAUAAUUUAAUUACAUUUCUAACCCUAAAUCUCUCCCCCAAAUUCAUCUAAUUCCCUAAGCCUCUCCCACAAACCCAAAACCCACGAUUUCUUCCCCAAAACCCACGAUUUCUCCUAAAAUCUCUCCAAAUCACCGGCGAGUUCUUCUCCAAAUCACCGUCGGCGACUUCUCUUCAGCUUUUCCGCCGGUUUGCGUAUCGAUCUACUGCCUUUGUUGAGACCGCCGGUUUUUGCAUCUCUUCAUCUCCACGUUCAUCUACUGCCGGCGAUUCAUCUCCACGUUCAUCUCUACGUUCAUCCACAUCUCUUCAUCUCCACAUCGGAAUUGGUAUUUCUAUUUCUUCUAUUUCUAUUUCUUCUAUUGGUAUAUUUCUAUUUCUUCUAUUUCUAUCUCCAAAUCGAAAUAUUGUUAAUUUAGUUUCUGUUUUUGAAAUCUCCAUUCAAUUUUUUGUCUUUUGGCCAGUUUUGGGUUUCUUUAUGUUUGUUUAUUACUAUAUUUCACACAUCCAAAUUGUCCAUCCAAAUUGUCCAUCUCUUCAAUUUUGGGUAUAUGUCUUUUGGCCAUCCAAAUUGCCUCCUUUUGUUUGUGUGGUUUAUGCAUUGGUUCCAAACUUUAAGUAGGCAAAAAAGCACUGCUAGUCUGCUAUUAUUCUCUAUGUAAAAAAUUAAAAAUCACCUUCUGUCUAUUGGGAGAUAUUUAAUCAUAAACAAACAUCAAUGCACAAUCUGAUCAUCUUAUUUUAAAUAUUUCAUAUUAAAUUGUAAAAAUGUUCUAAGACAUACUGCGACUUUUGGAAUAAAUAAGAUUUGGGUAAAGAUCUAUUUAGAUGGUCUCACAAUAUAUCUAUUUUGCUUAUGUUAGUGUAUUAAUAAAUUUUUUUCUUUUCAGAUUUUGUUUGUCUUCUUGUUUUCAGAUUUUAUCUCUACAUUCCCAAAUUUCCGCCGGACUGCAUAUCUUCAUCUCCUCAUCUCCUGUCGGCGACUUUCAUAGAUAUUUUUAUUUCUUUUUUAAAAAUCCAAAUAAAUUUGAUGUGAAUGUAAUAAAUAAAAUGCAACCCAUGAAUCCCCAUGAAAAUCUUUUAAAAAUGCAACCCAUGUAAUAAAUUUAUUUUUUCUUUCUUUCUAAAUAAAAAAAAAUCUUUUAUGUAUCCCCAUGAAUCAGAUAAUACUAUCUUAAUUCCAUUGUUUAUAAAUAAAUAGCUUUUAAUUUCAUAAAAAAAAUAGAAGCUUAGAAAAAUUCUGUCGGCAGGCCGAGCUGAGCCUGCCGAGCCCGAGCUGAGCCGAGCCAAGCCGAGCUGGCAGCUCAUAUUUUUCAUGAUAUAUAGAUACUCUGAAUUAGUAUCUUAGAUUAUACGGACAUGCAACUCAUUUUUGCAUGUUUCAAUUAUUUUAUAAAAUGGCCGGCAAUGAUCGAAAUUGGAUGGACAACCGACUAGAUGAGAAAAAUCAAAUUACCGAUUCAUUUCUCAAUGGUGUCGAGCAGUUUCUAAACUUUGCAUUCUCAGAGUCAAUUAUGACUCGUGAAGAUGGAAAAAUUAAAUGUCCUUAUAGUAUUUGUUGUUGUUUAAAUAAGGAAGUUAGAGAUAUAAUGACAGUUCAUCUUUGCAAGUUCUGUUUUAUGAGUGAUUACAGUAAUUGGGACAGACAUGGAGAUGUUAUUGUAUGUCUUUUAUGUGUUAAAUUUAUUUGAUUAUUUUAAAAAUAACUCAACAAUUUUUUCUGUGUAGAAAUUCUUUAAUUUGAUGACGAAGACCGUGCUCGGAAUGCAUUCAAUCAGUACCUAACUAUUAAUUAUCCUAAAUGGUUUACCAAAGCGAGAAAGGAUGCAAAGAAGAGUGCUGGUGUCUCUGAACUUGAUGAGAUUUGCAAAAAUUUCCUUUCAACAUACAUUACAAAUUAAAGAAAAAUGGGGAUUAAUGAUGGAUAAGUUUUUGGCACCAGAGUUCAUAGAAAAAUCAAAAAAGAAUUCAGAAAAUCGAAAUAAAAACGAAGAUUAUUUGGUGUACAAGGGUGGAUCGGCUUCUUUUGAAGCCAACUGUCAUGCAUUAGUAAGUUUAAAUAUUAAAUUCAUUUCGAUUUAAAUAUUUUAUGAAUAUUUUGAACUAAUUUUUAUCGUAUAAAGUAUAAAAUUAGGUCGAAGACCUUCAUUUCAAGAGGCAUUCUUGUCAACUCAUACGCCAUUAAAUGAUAGAGGAAAAACUAUGAUGGUGAGUAAUCAUUUAUUAAUAUUUCAUAAUAUAUUUAUACUUUUUUAAUUGUUUCAUAUUUGAUUUUGGUAAAGGCCGAAUAUGAAGAUUUGAAUGAAGAGCUUUGAAGACAAGAAGAUAGUGAUUCUGAUUCUGAUGAAGAUAGCGAAGACGAAAAUUUAUCGUCUCAAGGUUCAACUUUAUUUCAUAAUAAGCCUUUGUUUAGAAACGAUCAUAUUGGACCUUGGCUCAAAGCAUCUAAAGGAAAGAAAAAUGACCGCAUUUUGGGAUUUAGAGUUGGCAGUGAAUCAUUGUUAUCAAAUAAAAAGAGAAGGAAAAUGAGCAAUGAGAAAACUGAUAAGCAUAACAAUGAAGAGUUUGAAUUGACAGUUUCCAAAGCCGUUGGCAAAGGAAUGGAAGCGUUAGAAAUAAAAAACGAAAAACGUUUUCAAAUGAUGGAACAACGAUUAUUUGAACAUAUUCAUGUGAGUUUAAUAAAUGUUUUUAAAUAAGUUUCUCAAUUAAUUAUUUUUUGAAUAUCUUCAUUUAUUUUCAUGCUAAGUCUACAAGAAACGACCCCAAUCGUCCAUCAUCUAGUAAUGUUUUUGUUGAUCCUGCUUCAUCUGAGUUGAACCAAAUUAUUCAUUUAUCGAGAAAUUAUUGGGAAAAAGAUAAUACUAUCAAAUCGAUACCUCGACAAAAGGGUAAGACUUUAGAUAUUUCUAAUAUUGUUUAACAAAAAAAAUUGUAGAACACUUUUAACUCUAAUCAAAAUAUCAAUUUCAUAACAUAUGAAUGUUGAAUCAAUAUGAUUUCCUUUUUUGGUUAAUCUAAUUUGAUUUAUAGUAAAUGUGUGUGAUUGAAUGUGUGUGAUUGAAUGUAUGUGAUUGAAUGUAUAUUAUUUUCAGGUAUGAAUUGAGAUAUGUAAGGUUCUAAAUGAGCACCCAUUUAAAUUAAACUAUUUUUUUAUUGUAUAAUUUUUAGCGACGAUUUAGCGAUGAUUAAAAGACGAUUAGUUGAGACAAAAAACAUUAAAAUUUAAUACAAGCGACGAUUUAGCAACGAUGUAGCGAUGAUAUUUUUCAAAUAUUAACGACGAUGUAGCGAUGAUAUCUUUCAAAUAUUAGCGACGAUUCAACGACGAUGAAGCAUCGUGGAAGCUAAUUUUUAGCGUCGAUGACCAAUAUCGAUGCUAAUUUUUUAGCGAGGCGACCUACAGCGAAGCUUUAGCGUCGAUAAAAAAUCGUCGCUGAAAGCAAUUUAGCGACGAUCAAAGAAUCUUGUAGUGUACAUUCUUCCCAACGAAAAACCCCUAGCAAUUUUUUCCCGCCGACCUUCUCUGCAUUCGUCGUUCGUUGAGUGCAUUCGCCGGCAAGCUUUCCCGACGACCUUCUCUGUAUUCGUCGUUCGUUGUGUGCUUUCCCGCUGACCUUGUCUGCAUUUGUCUUUCGUUGUGUGCAUUGGCCGGUAAGCUUUCACGUGGACCGUCUAUGUAUUCCGUCUCUCCACCGACCAGCAUUACGCCGACUUUCGCCGUGGUUCUUUACCUCGAUUUCUCGGUAAGCAUAUCCAUCGUUCUUAAUAUUUUUACAUUAAAAAUCCCUUCUUCUGUUAUUGUACUGAUUAUAUUUCCGCCGACCCGCCCGUAGACAUUUCUUAGCAUCGAACGCAUAGCAGACCUGUUCUUCUAAACUGCUCAUUUUCGCACAAAUAUUGGUAAGCAGCACUUUACAAAUGAGUAACCGUUCUUAAAUGUAGUUUAAUCCGUAUAUUUAAAUCCGUCAGUUAUAGACAAUGAGUAACUGUUCUUAUAACGAUAACUCCAAUUGAACCUAUAUAAAAUGGUAGUUUCAUCACUCCAUUUUGUUUUGUGAAUCAUUGUUCUCGGGAAAAAACAAGGUAUUCUCUGUUUCUAUGUAUCUAUGUUUCUAAUUCUUGUUUUCUAUGUUUUCGUUUUCUUUAAAGAACACUGACAGAAUCAUUUUCACUAUUUUUUUUCGUUCAUGAUUUGUUCGUUUUAUUCUAUAUGUUUGUUCUGUUUGAUUUGUUUAUUUUUAUUCUUCUUCUGUUUUCUAAUGACAAUAGUUAUUUGAUUUAUUUCAUAUUUGAAAAUUAUUUCUUCAAGAACAGUGAUUUCUUCUGUAUCUUUAAAUUUAUUUUAGGUUAUGGUAAUGUGAUGUUAUUUUCUGCUAAAAUUAUUUGUACUAGUCUUCUAAUACAAUUUUUUUUCCUGUCUUUAUGUGUUUUAUUCAAUGCAGUCCAGAUAGUGUCUCCUGAUAAAGAAAAGACACUGAAAUCAAAGAUACUCGAUAUACUGAUAAUAUUGGUAUGAUUAAUAAUAUAGUUUUUAAUUUAAUAUGUUUCCAUCUACUGCUAAAAUAAUUAUUAUUUCUUGUAAUUUGUUUCGAUCUACUGCUAAAAAAGAAUGUGUUCCGAUAAAUUUUUUUGUAGUCCUGAUAAUGUCUUCUGGUAAGGAGGAAGAAAUCAAAGAUAAUCAAUCCACAGGUAAUAUGUGUUUGAUUAAAAUUUUAGUUCUCGAAUUAUUUGUUUUGCGUGUGAAUAGUUUAGUCCUCAUAAUUUUGCGCAAUAUUCUUUAAAAAUGCAGUGCGAGAUGUCAAGCGCGCAAAUUUCGUCGUCGAGAGUUUAAUUGAAGACAUUGACUGUAGUCUGUCAAAAUCAGAAAGGGAAUCUUUUUCGGAUGUCGAUCAGUUCAUUCUUUCUAAGAGAAAGGGGAGUAAAAGUACCUUUUUCUAGUUUUAAUUAUGUUUUAGUUGGUUGCUAACGUUGAACAUCGGAAUAUUUUUUAGGUCCAAUUCGAGAGAAAUCUCCCAAGAAAUAUAAAGAAAUGGACUAGACUACACACUAAGGAAGUUGAUGGCAGAGGAUCAGAAGAGACUAAACGCCAAGAAGUGCGGUGGUCUUGUCGUGAAGUCCCCUCCAAGGAUGAAAAAGAACGCAGGCUGUGAGGAAAAAGAAAGUAAUUAAGGUAGUUAAAAAAAUUGUUGAGGAAGAAGAACAUGCUAAAACUCAAACUGACUCCCGCAAGAAAAAGGAAGCUUCUGCUAAGAGGAAGAAAGGUACAUCUUAUGCUAAAAAGUUUUGUUUGUUUGAUAAAAUCUCUUCAUCCUCUGAUGAAAGACCACAAGUAUGGAAAAAAAGAAGGAAAGGACUACAACUGACUCAAGCAGAGAAAAUGAAGCCUCUGCUAAGAAGAAGAAAUGUUCAAGGUCUGCUAAAAAGCUUCCUGUUUCUGAUAAAAUGACUUCAUCUUCUAAUGAAAGACCACAAGUGAGGAAGAAGAAGAAGAAAGAAAGGACUGCCAAGUGCGAGCCAGAGAAGACGAACAGUUAAGAACUAUUUACUUUAAAAUUAACAUAUUAUGAGUUAUGAAUUGUUAAUUUAUUUUAAUUUUUAAUUUAUAGUUAACCACUUAAUUCGUCAUCGAUCUGGAAUACCAACUUACUACGAGACUGCACAGACCGGAUGUAUACAGUUCACCGAUAAUGUCACCAAAAGAAUAAAGUUUUGCUGUUUUGGUCAAUUAUAUGCUAUCCCUGAUUUCAAAAUCAGGGCUCGUCUCCUAGACGAUCUAAUAGGCAGGUAUGUUGGUAAAAACAUUUUUGUUAUUAACGGUCGAAGACUAGAGUUUUCUGUGAAAGAGUUUGGUGAAAUCCUUGGCAUUCCAUCAUGCGGCCUUGCCGUGAUAAUGAAGAAGAAGGCCAAGAGUACUUCUGAUUGGUCCCUAAGGCAUUUUAGUUCGGAUUGCGACAUUAGAAGAGAUGUGGUGGUCCAGGCCAUUACAGCAAUCAACAAGAAGGCUACGAGUGAAUCCUUGUCAAAGACCGAUGAGGAUGAUUUGAUAAGACUUUGGACUAUUUAUUUGUUUAUUACAGUACUAUGUUGCAAAAACAGUUACCGUAUUUGUCGAAAUUUUUUGGAUUAUGUUUCAAACAUAGGAUAUAUUGCCGAGUAUAACUGUGCGGAAUUCCUACAUGGUAUGUUGUUUGAACAUAUGGGCAAGUGCAGGGACAGUGUGCUCCACCAAAAAUGGACAAAUGAGCCAUCGAAAUUGUACAUAGAUGGCUGUGUGAUGUGUCUAAUGGUAUAUAUUGAAAAAAAAUCUGCUUUUGCAUAAAGUUAAUAUAGGUUAUUAGAAUAGCAUGGUCUGAGAAAUUUUUUCUUUACAGGUCUGGUUAUUCAAAAUUACGAUGAUGGCCUCGCCAUACAAGUCGUAUAUCGACAACGAACCCUAUUACAAGAAGUGAGGGGGUCAAAUUGUUUACUUGAAAGAGAAGCUUGUCCUUCUCGAAGAUGACGAGGUAAAUAAUUGUAAUCAAAUUUGCUUCUUAAAAAUUUAAUAUUUUGAUACUCCCCUAAUAAGAAACUAAUGUAGCUAUAUUUUUGUCAUCAAUAAACCCUUUGGUGAAUUUCUUAAUAAUUUUUUCAUUUUAUAUAUUCUUCAUGUCUUAGGUUUUUGUAGACGGUAUUUCUUUUGAGAAGAGAAUGAAUCUGACAGAGCAAAGACAAAAAUCAGAUGGUUUCUCAAGAACUGGUUCAGGUUCAUCAACAAGUACAAGUAAUCAUGGGACUGGAUCUGAGUCAAAAUCCGUGGAAGAGGAAAUGAGGUCAGUAGAGAGCGACCUCGACGAAUCUGCUAAAAGAGGAGGUUGAAGGGAAAGGCAGUAAUGAUACAUGAAUCAAAGAAAAAGACAGUACCACAACAUUCUUCUGGGAAAAAGAACAUUGUAAAUUACACCGUAGCAGUAGGCUAUCUACCACCAGUGGAACCUCCUCUGGACUGUCUCCUGAUAGUAAGUAAAUCUAAUAAGUGAAUUUCAUUUUUUUUGUACAUUUUUUCUAAUUAUACAUUUCAGAUUUUGAGGGAAACAAUAUGAAAUUGUUUGAAAAAUAUAUUAUAGUUAUGAAGGUGAGCAACAAAACUUAAGCUAGUUGAAGAUCCAACAGAAGUUUCAUUAAAUCUGAAGAACAGUAUUGGAGCAGGGGAUAAGGUGAAGAGUGCUAAAUCAAGCCCAGCAAAAAAAGUCGGCGCUCAAGAUUUGCCUUUGACUGACAGUCCUGCUGAAGAUAGUCCUUUGUCUGAUAUAAGAGAAGAUAGUGCUGCUGAAGAAGCUGAUGGUUCUUUUAAAAUUUGUUCAGAGGUUCCAACUGCAGAACCCACUCGGGCCGUAGUCUCCACAACAGAGGACAAUCAGACUAAGUGCAAAAUGGUUGAAAAAUGUGAUGAUGAUGCAGUGGAAGAUGCUGGAAAAAAGUAUGAUACAAUCGUAGAUAAUACUUUCGUAUUCCCAACAUUCAAUCUAAACAUCAGCAAAGAAUGCCCGACUCCCAUACUCAAUGAAGAAGAUCGUGAGGUGACUUACGUCGGUUACAAUCCACCAUCCCGAGAAAAGGCUAAUGUUCAGGUGAAACAAGAGUUCUACGAAGCAUGGGAAAUAGAGAGAGGGUUGUUUCCCGGUAUGCUACAUGUAGGUGAAACUUCUGUAAAGCUCGACGGAACUGUUUUAGGUAUGAAAUAAUUUUAAAAAAAAUACUUAUAGUAAAUAAAACUGAAAAUUUUGUUUAAUCGAGAACUGUUAUUUCAGAUGAAAACCUAAACGCCGGAUACAAAGAUGAUGAGAAGAAUGUUGCGAAGAAGACUACUAGUCCAGUAGAAGUGAAGUCCGUUCAAGGUACGCGGCGCAAAGAUGACACGAAAUGCUAAUCAACCAAAAAAAGAUUAGAAAUUGAAAUGAGAACAAUAUGCAUGAAAAUUAUUUACCUGUCCGUUAAUUCAAUACUACACUCUGCUAGAAUAUUCUAAUAGUAUGCUAUUACAAUAAUUAUGUCCUAUAAUACAAUUCUUCAUCUAGAAAAAUGUGUUUGAAAUGCUUGGCAAAUGUUUGAAAUGCUUAAUUGUUAGGUGAGUGUAUGCUAGCUAAUCUGUUAAUGGAAUAGGUAUCAUUGCUAAAGUAAAUGAAGGUUCUGUUAUUUCAUCAACUGUAUCCUAUAAUUGUUAGUGGUCUAAUAUAGUCUGUUAACAGAAUAUGUCGGUAUGAUAAUGUACUACGUCGUACUGCUAAUUAUUGAACAGUGUCCUAUAAUUGUAUUAGAUGAACAAACCAACGAACAUGUUUAUAUUGUAAAUGUUUUUUUUUCAUCAAUACCUACGACACAAACUAUCUAACACGGACAUACACAUUUUUUUUCAGAUUCUUUAGUUACUGAUAAGAAAAUGAAAGGAAUAGUAUCCUCAGAUGAAAAUGAGAAAGAUGUGCUAGUUAUUCAAGGUAACGAUAAAUUGUACAAGUAUUGUGCUAUAUAUACGUAUAUAUACGUAUACGUAUGUACGUAUACAUAAAUAUACGUAUACGUAUGUACGUAUACGUAUGUACGUAUACAUAAGUAUACGUAUACGUAUGUACGUAUACGUAUGUACGUAUACAUAAGUAUACGUAUACGUAUACGUAUAUAAUAAAUAUAUAUAUACAUAUAUAUACAUAUAUAUAUUUAUUAUAUUAAUAAAUUUAGAAACUUAUUAUUUUUUAUAAUUUCAGCAAAUUUCCGAGAUAAAUACCGCGAAUCGAGCGAAUCAAAUGACACAUCACGCUGGUUCAAAAGGAUUAGCGCAAAGACGUCAUGAAUUGAUAAUUUAUUUAUAAUUUAUAUCUAAUUUUUUUAUAUAUUAAUGAAUUAUGUAAAUGUAGAUGCAACAAGGAAGGAGUGAAGUCGGAACUUGGUCAGAGACUUUACAGAUGACAUAUAAAGGAAGCGAUAAAGUUGUAAGUCUUUUUUUAAAAUUAUUUAUAUUUUAUAAUUUAUAUUAUCAUUGUUUGAUUUUGUUAUUCUUUCAGCUUGAAGCCACGGAAUUUAUCAAAAGUCAAGAGGCAAAAUCGUGGGCUGAAUCUGAAGCAAUGACUCCAUUUGUAAGUUCAAUUGAUUAUUUUAAACAUAUUUCGCAUUUCUUAUUUAUUUACUUUUUAUAAUACAGCAAUUUAUCGAAACGACGGUCAACAAAACUUUCGGAAAAAAUAAAAAGAAUAGAAUCAUAGGAAUUGGAGAAACUGCCAGUAUGGUGAGCACAACGAACGAAAGAUGGGCUUCUCCAAAUUGGAAAGGAAAAGAACCGAUCUCCGAAAAUACGACUACUGAUGCAACACCAGAUGCAGUUUGGUCGGAAAAAUUUAAAGAAUUGAAGGUAAUUUAAAUAUAUUACAAUAAUUUUGUUGAUUAUCGAACUCAUUUUUGUUUUCAUUUUCAGAACAAAUGUAACGAGAGUCAAAAAGACGUUUCCAAAUACAAGAAGAAGUUCAAUGCAAUGAAAUCUUAUAUGCAGAAACUCAAUAAGACUUUGAAGACUUCCGGACUCGACAUGACGCAUAUGGCUUCCACUUCAAAGUCCACCAUACCGUCUGUAUUCGAAUCAGAUAUUUCGGAUUCUGAUUCAGAAGACUCGAUUUCAGACGAGUGUUGAUUACAAAAUUUAUAUUUGCUUAUUCAAACUUCGAAUGUUUAACGAUUCUGUAAUUUAGUUUUUUUUUAAUAAAAAACAUCGAUUUCAAAUUCAAUUUAAAAAUCGUUUUCUGAAAUAUCGAUUUUUAUUUCAAAAAACAACGAUUCAAACGCAAAAUAUGGAAUCCUGUUUCAAAAAAAAAAUUAAACAAACAUUGUAUGGCGGAAAUCCGCCAUCUAUACUAUUAUACUAAAGUUUAGAUGGCGGAAAUCCGUCAUCUAAAUAUGGGCACAAUCGCCCUCUGCCACGAAUAGAUGGCGGAUAUCCGCCAUCUAUAAACUUAGGGAACCGUCUGCUGUACUUUAGAUGACGGAUUUCCACCAUCUAAUGUUACAAAGAUAGUCGGCGGACAUCCGUCAUCAAUAAAAUUAACUGCCAUCAAUGAAUUUGCGCCAAACUUUUUCCGCGCCAUAUUUUAGAUGGCGGAUUUUCCGCCAUCUAAAACUUUUCAGUUCCUGCGAAAAUUUUCCGCCAUCUAUACAAUUUUUGGUGGAAAAUGGAGAUGGAUAAUAGAUGGCGGUCUUUAGAUGGCGGUUAUGGGGUUUUAAUGACGGUGUCCAAGAUGGCGGUCUUUAGAUGGCGGAUUUCCGCCGACGAUCACUUUAGAUAGCGGAAAUCCGCCAUCUAAAGACCGCCAUACAAGGUCUUAUUUCUUGUAGUACUACCGCCCGCGGAACAUACACUGGAUCUAGCUGAAAUAGAGGUACAACAUGUAGAGGUACUGUUGCAGGUACAGCAGGAACUUGUGGGCGCACUUCCGGAACACGUACCGAAAAUGGAGGUCUACGCAGUAUCUGUUUUUCUCUCCUUCCCAUUAUGCUAUAUCAAGCAAUUUAUUUAAAUUAUACAUUCAAAAUAUUAACUAAACAAUAAUUAAGUAAUGCAUUUAAAAAAAUUAGAUUAAUAAACUAAAAUGAUAAUUGAAAUAAGAAAUCAGAAAUUACAUACUUCGAAUUUUGGUGAAUAAUAUUGAAGAUCGAGUUUAGUUUAUAUCGGCUUCUUUAGCACCAACACCUGUGAGUUUGGAAUAAACUAUAUCAAAUUACAGUUUGAAUUAAUUAUUUCAAUUUUUAAAAAAAAUUUCAUGACCUAUUUGCUUUUAAUGAUAAUCGAAACACAUAUAACAUAAAAUUAAACCUGCAAAUAAACAUAUAUAUAUACAACAUACAAAUGAAGAUGAAUACAAACGACAAUCCUUAAAAUUUUACCAUAUAAUGGAAGCAUACUGAGAUACAAAUUUCUCGCGGAGAAAUUUAAACAGCAAAUACUAUAAAACGAGAAGUUCAUGAAAUUUAAAUUUCAAUUAGUUCUUACGAGAUCUCAUUGAGAAAAACAGAAGAAAUACAUGUGCUCAAGAGGGAAAAAUUUAUAUAGAAAGAGGGAAAGCUUCUUAUGAUAUUUCAAGAUUGGAAGAUUUUAUUUCAAAUAAAAUAAAAUCAAGGUUUAUUUUAUCUGAAUUUUGUCCUGUAGUGUAUAGUUUGUCAUCAACACGAUAUUUCCAUCUCUAAAAAAAUAUUAAAUAAGAGAUUAAAUCUAGAACCGUCGAUUCAACCAAUGAAAAAUACCUUGAUGCAAUUCAAUUGAGAUUUUUUAAUAUGAAGAUUAUACUAAUGAAAUCAAACAUUACAUGAAACAUCAUGUAUUCAUGUUUGUUUGUCAGUGGAAAUGUGAAUAAGUCUGAAUAAUGAUUAAGAAAAUAUUUAUUCGAACAUGAAACUUUAGUGAUAUCAGCAGUGUAACUGGUAACUGUACUACUUGGUAUCUACUGUGACUCAAAUGACACUAUUUUUUUCCCCUUUGAAUACUUUACAGUUUACAUUCAAAAUAUGUUUGCAUAUGUAUAUAUGGACCAAAAAACACCAAGUGUACUUUAAUAUAUACUACAGCCUAGAAUGAAUGAGAAGUUCAAAUCUUAAAAAACACUGUUCUAGUAUUAAUGUGCAUUUUCUUCAACCUUCUACAAUCCUAAUUCUCCAAAUAAUUAUNNNNNNNNNNNNNNNNNNNNNNNNNNNNNNNNNNNNNNNNNNNNNNNNNNNNNNNNNNNNNNNNNNNNNNNNNNNNNNNNNNNNNNNNNNNNNNNNNNNNAAAACAUAGAAAUACAGAAAAGCAAUGUUCAUCGUCAACCAACAUCUUAAGAAGUAUAAUUCAAUUUAAAAAAAUCACACGUCUUGAAAUCAAAUUAGAAUACGAUAUUUUGUGUUUUUUGUUAAUUUAUUUUAAAUCCACAUCCCUAAUCGUGAGAUCAAACACCCAGAAUGACAAAAUACCAAAUCAUUGAUCCAACACAACACUGCAUCGAAGAAUCUCGAUCCAAAAUAAACAAAUUAACAAAACAUUUGAGCUACCUGUUCGAACUCUCACCAGAGGAAAAUCGCUGCUGCCACCAGAGGAACUCCUCGCCGCAUCGCUGAAGGGUUGGGAAAUCACCGGAGGAACGUCGCUGGAGGGUUGGGAAAUCACCGGUGGAAUGUCGUUGGUUGGGAAAUCGCGAUGUGGGAUUUUAGGAGGGUUUAAUUUAGGGGUUUGGGUUUAACAAUGGG
Molecule: long non-coding RNA, 30416 nt
Filed under: Zostera marina
Lineage: Eukaryota; Viridiplantae; Streptophyta; Magnoliopsida; Alismatales; Zosteraceae
Description: long non-coding RNA (ZMAR_LNC004913)
Source: RNAcentral